AGAGUUUGAUCCUGGCUCAGAACGAACGCUGGCGGUAUGCUUAACACAUGCAAGUCGAACGAACAAAAUUGGAGCUUGCUCCAAUUUUAGUGAGUGGCAAACGGGUGAGUAACACGUGGGAAUCUACCUAUCAGUACGGAAUAACAUUUGGAAACAGAUGCUAAUACCGUAUAUUCUCCAAGGAGGAAAGAUUUAUCGCUGAUAGAUGAGCCCGCGUAAGAUUAGGUAGUUGGUAGGGUAAUGGCCUACCAAGCCGACGAUCUUUAGCUGGUCUGAGAGGAUGAUCAGCCACACUGGGACUGAGACACGGCCCAGACUCCUACGGGAGGCAGCAGUGGGGAAUAUUGGACAAUGGGCGAAAGCCUGAUCCAGCAAUACCGCGUGAAUGAUGAAGGCCUUAGGGUUGUAAAGUUCUUUUAGUUGGAAAGAUAAUGACGGUACCAACAGAAAAAGCCCCGGCUAACUCCGUGCCAGCCGCCGCGGU
This 484-nucleotide ribosomal RNA is filed under the name uncultured bacterium. RNAcentral's name for it is "bacterial SSU rRNA". It matches the Rfam family "Bacterial small subunit ribosomal RNA", at positions 8 to 521 of the family's 1533-position model. The record is from RNAcentral.